CGCGGCCUAUCAGCUUGUUGGCGGGGUAACGGCCUACCAAGGCAUCGACGGGUAGCUGGUCUGAGAGGACGAUCAGCCACACUGGGACUGAGACACGGCCCAGACUCCUACGGGAGGCAGCAGUGGGGAAUAUUGCGCAAUGGGCGAAAGCCUGACGCAGCAACGCCGCGUGGGGGAUGACGGCUUUCGGGUUGUAAACCCCUUUCAGUGAUGACGAAAAUGACGGUAAUCACAGAAGAAGCCCCGGCCAACUACGUGCCAGCAGCCGCGGUAACACGUAGGGGGCGAGCGUUGUCCGGAUUUAUUGGGCGUAAAGAGCUCGUAGGCGGCUCAGUAAGUCGGCCGUGAAAGCCCGGAGCUCAACUCCGGGACGCCGGUCGAUACUGCUGUGGCUAGGGUCCGGUAGAGGAGAGUGGAAUUCCCGGUGUAGCGGUGAAAUGCGCAGAUAUCGGGGGGAACACCAGUAGCGAAGGCGGCUCUCUGGGCCGGUACCGACGCUGAGGAGCGAAAGCUAGGGGAGCAAACAGGAUUAGAUACCCUGGUAGUCCUAGCCGUAAACGUUGGGCACUAGGUGUGGCGGAUUCAUUGACAUCUGCCGUGCCGGCGCUAACGCAUUAAGUGCCCCGCCUGGGGAGUACGG
RNAcentral lists this ribosomal RNA (640 nucleotides) under uncultured bacterium. RNAcentral's name for it is "bacterial SSU rRNA". It matches the Rfam family "Bacterial small subunit ribosomal RNA", at positions 232 to 885 of the family's 1533-position model. The record is from RNAcentral.